Small nuclear RNA from Mesocricetus auratus (golden hamster), 104 nucleotides. NCBI's taxonomy places the organism in Eukaryota, Metazoa, Chordata, Mammalia, Rodentia, Cricetidae. The record is from Ensembl.
GUGCUCACUCCAGCAGCACACAUACUAAAACUGGAAUGAGAGAGAGAUUAGCAAGGUCCCUGAGCAAUGAUGGCAUGCAAGUUCGUGAAGCAUUCCGUACUUUU